Molecule: ribosomal RNA, 253 nt
Filed under: uncultured bacterium
Lineage: Bacteria
Description: partial 16S ribosomal RNA
Rfam family: Bacterial small subunit ribosomal RNA
Source: RNAcentral
UACAGAGGUAUCAAGCGUUGUUCGGAAUCACUGGGCGUAAAGCGUGCGUAGGCUGUUUCGUAAGUCGUGUGUGAAAGGCGCGGGCUCAACCUGUGGCCUGCAUUUGAAACUGUUUUUCUUGAGUACUGGAGAGGCAGACGGAAUUCCUAGUGUAGCGGUGAAAUGCGUAGAUAUUAGGAGGAACACCAGUGGCGAAGGCGGCUUACUGGACGAUGACUGACGCUGAGGCUCGAAAGCGUGGGGAGCAAACAGG